GAAUAUUGGACAAUGGGGGCAACCCUGAUCCAGCCAUGCCGCGUGUGUGAAGAAGGUCUUCGGAUUGUAAAGAACUUUAUGUUGGGAGGAUGGGCUUUAGGUUAAUACCCUGAAGUUUUGACGUUACCAACAGAAUAAGCACCGGCUAACUCUGUACUAGCAGCCGCGGUAAUAAAGAGGGUCCAAGCGUUAAUCGCAAUUACUGGACGUAAAGCGCGCGUAGGUUGUUCAGUAAGAUGGGUGUGAAAUCCCCGGGCUUAACCUGGGAACUGCUUUCAUAACUGCUGAGCUAGAGUACGGUAGAGGGUAGUGGAAUUUCCUGUGUAGCGGUGAAAUGCGUAGAUAUAGGAAGGAACACCAGUGGCGAAGGCGACUACCUGGACUGAUACUGACACUGAGGUGCGAAAGCGUGGGGAGCAAAC
RNAcentral lists this ribosomal RNA (422 nucleotides) under uncultured bacterium. Its description in RNAcentral is "partial 16S ribosomal RNA". It matches the Rfam family "Bacterial small subunit ribosomal RNA", at positions 359 to 773 of the family's 1533-position model. The record is from RNAcentral.